Long non-coding RNA from Neofelis nebulosa (Clouded leopard), 525 nucleotides. RefSeq lists it as uncharacterized. The transcript has 4 exons. The record is from RefSeq and is a predicted model, not a curated record. Lineage: Eukaryota; Metazoa; Chordata; Mammalia; Carnivora; Felidae.
UAGGCGGGGCGAGGGUUGCUGGCUGUUGCCAGGGCAACUGGAAGCGAUUGGCGGUUAUCCGCGGUUUGAAGCUGUUAGGCAGUAGAGUCCGGGAUGCUCAGAGGUCAUUUGGGAUCAGCAUGAGGGGCAUGAGGGCCUUUCUAAGACAAGACUGUCCUCUCAGGAGGUGAGUAAAAAGAAAAAAGCCACCCGUCCUCCCCACUACCUAGCAGUGACUUCAAUUUGUCAGUGAAUUGAAGAGACAGAGAUGAAGCGGACGCAGCACGUGAAGGCAAUUCUUUCAAGAAGUUUGGCUGUAAAGGAAAAGAUAAAGGUGCUAAAGACCGUAUAAGCAUGGAGUAGACAGGCCACCUUUGCUACUCCAUGGAAGCUUAUUUAAAAUUGAAGCUUAAAAAGCCAACCUGGAAGAUAGAAACCAAAUCCUGAUGACAUUAUUUGAGCCCAGGGAUCCAAACAUGCCCAAAGACUAUUUUGCCACUGGACUUUUCAGUUAAGUGAGCCAAUAAACUCUCUUUUAUGCUUAAA